UGAGUUUAUCAUAUGGAACAAGUGUAGCCCGGAGGUGGAUUUUUGCCACAGGUAAGGAGAAGCUGAAGAGCAACAGGGACAUAAAGAUUGAGGUCAAGAGCUUUGAGCUUGAGGGUAGUGCAGAGACAAGCCGCGGCUUCGACUUCAACGAGGCCUUUAAGUAACGGACAACAUUUGUUAACUGCUGGAUCCCCAAGCCCUAUCUUUACUAAACCUCCCAACAAGUCGACGCAAGCACCUAACUUCAGCGUGUCUAUUGGACAUGUCGCCUUCCCGCCCCCUGAUGGUGGCUUUACGCUCCCUGGCGGUGGAGGACAGUCCUUCCCUCCUGUGGCUGGUGGGGUUGUUCCCGGUGGAAGAAUAGGACCUACAAUUGGCAAAGGCGGCAAUGGCAGAUUGGGACCUACCACUGGAGGUAUGGGUAGCCCUGAAAUCGGAGGAAGGGGUAGCUUAGGGACGGUCACUGGAGGAACGGGUAGCUUAGGUACAGUUACCGGGGGAACGGGUAGCUUAGGGACUGUCACUGGAGGAACGGGUAGCUUGGGGACGGUCACUGGAGGAACGGGUAGCUUGGGGACGGUCACAGGAGGAACGGGUAGCUUAGGUACAGUCACUGGUGGAACGGGUAGCUUAGGGAUGGUCACAGGAGGAACGGGUAGCUUAGGGACGGUCACCGGAGGGACUGGUAGCUUAGGGACGGUCACCGGAGGAACUGGUAGCUUAGGGACGGUCACCGGAGGAACUGGUAGCUUAGGGGCUUUAGGGGAGUGCUUUCCGCCCUUCCGUGGGUUGCAAGAGCCGCAUGCGAGAGAAUGUUGGGGGAGAUAGAUAAUGCAAAUGAGGAAGAGGCAAAGAGAGAGAGAUGAGAGUUUGGAGGAGUCCAUGUUGAGUAGAGUGGAUGGUGUAACUAUACGAAAGAGUAUAUGAAUAUAUAGAGGGAAAAUGAGAAGAAGAAUUCACGUGAAGAUGGGGGCUACUUCUGCAAUAAGAAGAGACGCCCCAAAAUAAGCAUGGUUGGCAAUUAUCAUAAGAAUACAAGAUUUCCUUGAUGACCCAUCGCUAUAUAUCAUCACAUGUCGACCACACUUUUUUCACUUUUUUUUUUCUAAGUGCCUCUUGUUCUUGGGUUAACUACAACUUUUAACAACGUGUAACUUCAGUUUCAACAGUACAGUACAUUUAACUUGUAGGAAUUGUAAUGAAUCAACUUAGCGAGACUAGGUCAUUAUGAGAUAUCAUCAAUACUAAAUAACAUUUUGAUGAUGUAAACACUCUAGGAAAAGCAGAUAAUAUAGUAUCAUAUGGUUUUCGCUUUAGUGUGUGGCUUCAUAAGCAUCUCCAUGCAUGAGUCGACUGCUAAGGAACAUAUAGAUCUGCACCAUAGUGAAGACGGCUUAGUCUAUUCAAAACACUAAUGUUGUGCCUUUCGAGGACCUCCCGAGACUCGAAUUCGAAUGCACUCUCCAAAGGUAUUAUGUUAGGGAAAAAACCUUAUUAAACCAAAUAUGUUACUGUUUAACCCAUACACGAAAAUUAGAUAUAUAAAUGUUGAACAAAUAGCAUAUAGUUAUAUCCAAUAUAUACGUACAUGAGAGGUAAAGAAGACAGCAAGACUGACAUGUGAAAUUCGGGAUACACUUUUGUUGUUUGGUGAUUUUGUUACGUAGUGUCAUUAAAGAAACGAUCAUGUGUGCGUGGACCAUCUUCUUCUUUUUACCGCUCAUUUCCCUUUUUACCAUAUCUACUACAAAAGAGUCCGAACUGACCAUUUAAUGAACGAGUACCAUUCAAUUCAUAAACUCCCCGUAUCAAUCUAACUGACACUGUAAAAGUUAUAAUGUUAAUAUAUAAAAAUAAUAUGGUUAUUUAGCAUGAAUAAUAACUUUUUAUAAUUGAGAGUAUGUCUAGCUAACAUUGGUGAUUGGUGCUUACAUAAAUCAUAUUUUUCAAACCACUUAACAAGAACUUUACAUAUUCAAUGAUAAACGAAUCACAUUUAUACAAUAUACCAUUCAAAAAUAAUAUUGUAAGAUGAUUUGAAAUUAAACGAUUGUAAUAUAUAAUGUGUUAAAAGUAAUGUAUUAUAGAUAUCUUGUAAUUAUUUAAAGGGUUUUGUGCAAAAAAAAAAACCACUAACUCAUACAUUUUUCCAAUUUACUAUCCAGCUCUAAUAAAUGCACAUUAAUCCUAUGAAUCUAAAAUAAUACGCAUUGUAACCCUUUUUGACCAUUUUUUGCUACCAUCAAUUUUGUAAAAUAUUGAUAUAUAAUAUGUUAAAUCAAAGCUCUCGCGACCAAGAGUUCAACUCUACCUUUAAAAAUUUUAAAAUGUAAUGUAUGUAACCGUAAAAACGCUUGUAAUAUGCAUAUGAAAUUUAUAUUACAUAUUAUGUUAAACUUCAUAAGAUUAAUCUGCAUUUGUUGGUAGUGCAUUUGUUAGAGGUGGAAGGUAAUGUUGCAAAAAUAGAUGAGUUAAAAGAUUUCUUUUUGCACAAAACCCUUUAUUUAAACUACUAACAAUAUAAUAUAUAAAUAAUUUAAAACAUAUAUCUCUAUAAUUCAUGAAGUAAUAAUGGUGUACCCUAUCCUUACCAACGAAUAAUAAAGAAAUGAUAUUAACUCUGAUUCAAAAGCUAUAUAUAAGAUAUUCUUUUUUUUUCCUCGGGAGGGAUACGAAUCCGGUAACAUGAAUCAGUGUCCAAUAAGAGCCAGUGGUCGUAAAUUCCAAAUGACAGAUGGAUGACUCAUUUUAAUUCGUAACUUUUGUCAGCUGCGAUAUAUGCUAAUGAAACCUGAGGUGCUAGAUUUUGAUUUUAAUGGCUUUAGAUUCUUACUCAACACUCAAUGGCCCACUCGUUAAUCUCUUACCUUCUAAAGUGAGUUAUGAUCCACUGCUUCUUUCUUCUUGUAGAUAGAUGGACCUGUUUUUUUUAGGUUGUGAUUUGUGGACAUUAAUCAACAACCCAUGUUUAUACGUGAUAAUGUCUGGAGCUAUAUGUAAAGGCGAUAUGGAGGACAACAUUCCUCUAUUCUAACUUUAAAAGCCAUGUAGUUAGGGCUGGACACCAAUAUUCUUUUUUUUUUUGCUAAAUUGUAAAUAUCAUUUUGAUGAAAAAUCAGGUUUUACAACAGUUGUAUAACCUAAAACAUUUGAACUCUUUGGCAAAAAAGAAUAAAAAAACGAAGAGCCAAUCGAGAGCUGCAUAGAACUCGGUAGUUUCAUAGCAGCCACAACGCUAUUAACUUGCGAAAAAGGAGUCUGUUUCUUCUUGAGGUGAUAACGUUUUUGAUUUUGCGGUUGAUGCACUUGAAUAUAGAAUGCGGAGAGAGGGAAGUAGCGUUGUGCAGGACAUUGUUAGGCUGCUUCAAGAUGUGGAAGACCUUAGACUGAACGACAAUAAUUUUAAGAACUGAUGAAGCCAAUAUUCAUCAUUUUCAAACAAAAAAUAUCUUUUGUUUGACACCAAUAUCCUUGACCAGCUUCAAACAAAGGAUAUACAUCAUUUUUAAGUCGGGUAAGGCAAAUGAGUAUAAGGAUUCUCAUUACACAUCUGGUUGCCAAAAACUUUUAGUCAAAUACUAGUUACAAUCUCAGUUUUUUACCCCAAACUUUUUGCCACUUAAAAAACUAGGGGUGGGCAUUCGGGUAAGCGGGUCGGGUUCGGGUUCGGGUAAAACCCGAUCAGGUAUAAAGAAGUUUAGGAUCUAAUAGGGUAAAUCUAAAAUAUCGGUUCGGUUUCGAUUCGGGUCCAACCGGGUUCGGAUAUAGAUUUGUGGCCUUUUUUUAUCCAGAUUUUUCGGGUAAAAUUUUGGAUUUCGGAUAAAAUUUAGAUUUUUGAAUAAAAUAUUUGGGUAUUUUCGGGUUCGAGUUUGUUUUUUCGGGUAGAGAAAUUUAGGAUCCAGUAAAGUACAUCUUCGGAUUUGGAUUAAGUUUCAGCUCUAAUUUUUCGAGUUAGUUUCGGUUCGGAUAAUCGGUUCUGGUUUUUUGGCCCGGCUCUAUAGAAAACCAUCAAUAAAUAUUUUAAUCCUAUUUCUGCCUCAUUACUCGAGAAAAUAUUCGACCCGUUUUAUUACUUGAUAAAUUUACAACUAUAUAUUUAUGUAAUCUAUUUCAUAUUAGUAAAAUAUAUUAAAUUUGUUAUUAAAACCAAAUAUCUUUUGAGAUUAGGGCAAUCAAAAGUUAAGGUCAAGCAAAUGUCUCCUUUCUAAAUGUUUUUGUGGGUAACGGUAAAGGACAAAUAUACAGCCCAUGCCCAGACCUACAAGUAGCGACUCCAUUACUACACAGUAAGAUUUUUAUUAAUAAAAAUGUGCAUGGUUUCAUUUAAAAGUCAUUGCUAACACUUCACUUUACAGUAAUAUUCAAUUUCAUACCUUUAAACGUUAAUCAGAAUCGCCAAUUGGAAGCCAGUCACUGGAAUCACCUUCCGAAUCCUUGCUAUGUCCAACUUGGCUCUUGCUGAGCUGAACCCAGCUUGACCCGCUUGCGUUUGAUGCUGGUCUUUUCAGUGUACUCCUGUUGGGACUUGGCUUCUCCGAGAGAUCAUCGACAUCUAAAUCACUAAAGGAGAUUACCUCUUCAUCUCUGAAACUCCUCCGUUGUUCUUCAGAUGACUCAUCACUUAUCUCCCUUUGCUCAAUUUUUAGAGUCUCUAUCUUGUCAAUGACUCCCUCAACGGUUUCUGUUUCCCUACUGCUACCUUCUUCAGGAGUUUCGUGACCAGUAGUGCUCUUGCUUGACCCUGUCUCUUUCUUUUGCAGCUUUAGUAAAAGUUGAUCCCUUGUUUCAAAUACCUGUGCCGCACAAUAUAGUUAUUAAAGUUUCAGAAAUAGGUACAAUAGUAACUUGGGAAAAAAUGCAGAGCAUAAAAGAUAUAAAACAAUCCAAUUUUAAAAGCAUCAGGCAAAAAUACAUUUUUUCCUGAGGCUAUACUUGUUCUUAUUGCAAUCGGUUGAAGGGGUCAUUAUAGCAUAAACGUUUACGAUUUUAAUAAUAUUGGAUCAAUACUGACAUUUCAGAAGAAUGUAUUUCCAGUAUACAGUCUUACCUUGCAUGUUGCUAAGAGUUCAAAAUCAUGCCCAUUCAGUCUCGGCAUCAGCAAAAUAAAAUAAAUCAGCCAGAAGUGUUCAUCAUCCAUGUAACUACUAACUUGAUUCUUCACAGCUACAAGGCCAGGAACCAAAUCUUCAAUGGCUGAUGCAUGUGCCCUUUGAGCCUCAGACAGUUCAAAUUCUGCAAUGUGGACAUGAAAAGUUGGAGAAAAACUUCAGCAUAAUUCAGUAGGUAAAAUUGAUGUAAACCACCAAUGCUUUUUAUCAGGAAGUGUUUCGACAACAUUUUCAAGCAAACCAAGCCUAUAUACAAAAGGUUGUACAGGAUGACGAUAUGCUUCGCAAUAAAAUAAAUAAAAAGAUUUAAGUGGCAUAUGGAUUGAACUAUAUAUAUAUAUAUAUAUAUAUAUAUAUAUCCCAAGAAGAGACUGCAGACCCCGUCAAGUUUAUUCGUAAUUCCUGGAGAUCUAUCUAAAGAACAGGGACUUCAAAAAAAAAAAUUAACUGCAGAAACAAUCAAUCUUGUCCAAACAGGUCUAGAAUAAAACACAUCAAGAGUUAAAGACUGAAGCAUAAUCAUCUUUGGCGACUGAAAACAAGUCAACUAUAUUUCCAAGAACAAUCAUGUUUAUUCCUGCAUGGCUGCAAGUUCGUCGACAAUAUCUUCAAGGUAUGAAAAAUGUGAUCUACAGAGAGUAAUGGGACCCCGAGAUCCUAAAGACCUGAGCUUGAAGAAAUAUAUCCCAAGAGGAGAUGGCAGGACCGGUCUAACCUAAUCUAAAAUACUAGGAAAUCUCUCUAAAGAACACCAGAGGCUACAAGCAAUCAACUGUACAAACAAAAAAAAUAUUUUCCUAAUAAAUCACAGUAAGAAAAUCAUAACUAAACAUAGAUAGUUAGAAACCACCAAUGCGGUGCUUCGACUAUACUUUCAAACUAACAAAGCCUAUAUACUGGGAACAAAAAUAUGCUUGAAGAAAUAUGUCCAAAUAAGCUUAAUCUGUAACCCUAGUGAUCCCACUAGAAAGCCAAUCAACUGUAGAAGCAAUCAAUCUUUUCCAAAUAAAACCUAUUUUAGUAACAAUUAUGUUUGCCUACUGGGAAAAAAAAAAGUCAAUGCAGAGCUUAAGACUAUUGAGAAUCAAGCUUUAUGAUUCCUCUAUUGACUAUACAGGAGCAUUACCAGUAUCGAGUGACAAUGGAAAAUCUGUCCAACAACCAGGUUUCGUCGAGAUUUUAACAGCGAAAUCGACUACUUCUUCAGAGAUUCCAGGAACUUGAUCGUUCAACGGAGAUCUUCUACUACUUUCUCUAUCUCUUAGAUUACUAGGAAAUUGGAGUAAAUUAGAUGCGAAAUUGGAGAAAUUUCCACGAAUCUCGGCUAGAUCGUUGCGGAUCCCGAGAAGACCUAGCUGAGUUGGUGAAUUAUCAGAGGAGAGUCGGCGUUCGUUUACAGGUGGAGAAGGAGGCGGUGCCAGGAAAGCUGCGACGCCACGGAGUAAGGAAGAUAAAUCUUCUUUGACACCGCCAUGAGUUGUGGAAGGAUCGGGAUCGGGAUCGUGAUCGUCAUCGCCGCGAGAUUUGAAGAGCCAAGACAUGGUUUUUGAGUGAGAGAGGUUGGAUUUGGGGUUUUCAGUUUUUUUUGCACGGGGUUACGAAUAGCAAGAGAGAAGAAACGGUACGUUUUAAUACCUUUCCAAAACGCACCGUUUGUUGUUUGUUCGUUUUGAUACCUUCCCAAACGUGAAAUAAACGAACAAUAAUUAUACAAAAUAAACGGAAACAAAACCUACUUUUUAAAACGGGAAAAUAUCGUUUUAUACGUGAUGUUUUUAAGAAUGGUCAUUUUAUAUGUAAACUUUUAGAUCGAUCAAAUAAAAUAUGAUAAAAAUGUUGAUCCGCUAUUUAAACAAAACAUAAAGUUUGCCUGGCCAAAAUUUCCGAAAUGUUAACUUGUAUUAACGGAUCUGAUAACCCUCGUUAGCAGACGUUAGUCGUCUUCCGUUAAUACCAAACGAUUUUUUGUGAUGAGUACAAACCUUAAAAUUCCCAAAUCGAUUUUUCAUUCCCUAAUUCUUCAUAAUCCCCAAAAUUUGAACUAUUCUCGAUAUAUUUUUUUUGAGCUCAAAAUCUCCAUUUUGUGUAGAUAUGAGUUUAAAAAAUUUGAGUGUUCAAGAAGGAGGAAGUGGGAACCUUGGGUUUCCUUCAAAGUGUCAUUGGGGGAGAGAUUUCAUCAUCUAUAUAUCAAGCUCGACGAAGAACCCAAGAAGAUCCUUCUUCUGUUGUCCAACAUAUCAAGAUGUAAGUAGAUUUGAAUUUGUUUUUUUUGGUGUUUGAUCGGUAAAAAGUUGUCGUUGUAAAUGCAGGACCAUUUGUUUAAGUGAGUCGAAGAUUGUGUGUAUGAAGAGGUUGUAGAUGCAAUACUGAUAAUCUCUAUGAUUGAUAGCUAGAUAAACAAUGUCAAAUUUCAGGUUGUAGUCGAGAUUGCAGAAUUAAAGGUUUUGAUCCAAGAAUUGAAGGAAGAUGAAAUGUGGAGCAAAAUGGAAUUGAAGAUAUGGAAAUCGAUGACCAAAUUGUGCUUGGUGUGCCUUUGUAUAACAGUCAUUGCAAUUAUGAUCAUAAUGUUCUAUAAGACCAAAAACCAUAAGCUUGUUCUUGGUUACUAGUGUUUUGUGUUUGUAAUAAAAUGUUUUUAUGGUACUGAAAUGUUUGUUUGGCAAUGAUAAUCAGUCCUAGUGUUUUGUCUUAGUGUUGUGAUUGUAAUGAAAUGCUACUAGAUGCUUGUUUAACAAUGAGAAUCACCAAAAUGAAACUCAUUCAUACAUUAUAAAACUUGUGUCACAAAGACAAGUCGAAACCACAAAAUGAAAUCGAUACUAAGCUUAUGUCAUAAAGACAAAUCCAUUAUGUCAACCACCAAAAAUAAACUUAUGAGAAAGCUUAAGUUCAAACAACAACAAAAAGAAACUUGUGACUAAUCUUGUCUUGAACACUCAAACCAUGAUGCAAAUCCACCAAGUCCUUGUGGUUGAGCAUGUGGCUCAGUUUGUGCUUGUGCUUGUGGUUCUGUUUGGGAUUGUACUUGUGAUGCUCCACCUGUCUCCCUUGGUCUUUCUGAUGUUCCGCCUGUUGCCCUUGGUCCUUGUGAUCGAAUAUGAGAUUGUGAUCCUUGAUGAGGUUGUGAUCCGUGUAUUUGCUCUUGCGAUUCGAGCACUUGAGAUCGUGAUCCUUAAUGAGAUUGUGAACUUUGAUGAGGUUGUGAUCUUAGCACUUGUGAUUCCUCCUAAGUUAAAUAUGACAGUCUGAACAGUUGCAUGAUUAAGUGAGUUGUAAAACAUAUAAAAAAAAACAAGAAUACAAACCUGAUUUAUUCGUGGAUGACCUCUUGGUCUCUUUGGUGGAAUCAGAAUAGUGGCAUUUUUGCAGCUUUGCUUGUUUGCCCUUGUUGAAGGCAGUUAGAGCAUGUCAUGAUUCUCUUUUGCAGUGGCAUCUUGUUCUUAUUUGAAGAAGAAGAAGUCUCAUUUCUUCCUUUUCUCCUAACAUAAUUACUCGGUCUUCCAACAUUUCCUUUUGUCCAUGGUGGUGGCAAAACAGGGAGCCUAUUGGUUUUAGGCCACAAUGGCAUACCUUGGACAAGGCUAAUACCAUCUUUAUAAGUUUUUCGCCAGAUUACCUUUGUGUAAAACUUGCUCACAUAGUCUGCAACUGUUUCUCUUCUUCCUAUUAUCACAGGUGUCGCAUAAAUACAUGGGAUCCCCACCAUCUACCACUUCCUGCGACCACAAGUUCUCUUCUCCGUAUCAACAUAGUAGCUAACACCAUUCACAUCAAUUUGAUACAAAUUGUUUCUGGACAUAUAUCUCUCGCAAUUUCUAACCCCAACUAUCAUUUUCUCAAUCUCAAGAUGGGCUCUCUUUGUGAACCUUGUCUUCAAUUUGUCAGCAAUGAUAUACGUCUUCGUAGUUAUGACCAUGCAUUACCUCUGGAUGUACUCUAGCUAAUCCAACAAAGGCUUUCUCCUAGCCUGUUUAAUAGUCUUAUUAAAAGACUCACACUGAUUAUUGAGGCUGUCAUUGCAACGUGUCCAAUUCUAAAGAAGGCUCUCGACCAUGUCAUUGGACUAGUAAGUUGCGAGUGGCAUGCGCAUGAGGAUUGUAUCUCUUUAGCUCUUCCAUAUUAUUCAUGAACACUUCUUCAGUGUAGCUUCAAAUUGUUUUUCAAAGAGACAUUGUAGUUCUAUCUCAUGGUUGUCUCUCUUCCAAUUGUCCAUUAUAUGCCUUGAAUAUUGUCGAUGCUCAACUUCUGGAAGUAUGGUAUUGAUAGCUUUGACUAGACCCUGUAAAAUAACACAAAAACAUAAGCGUAAACCCUUCAUAAAAGACAUUAAACUGAAGCAAAAGAUGAUAAAAUUAACUGAUUAUUUAUCUGAAAUGAUAACUAGAUGUUGCAUUUCACAGUCCCAAACUAGUAGAGAGCUGUCUCAAAAACCAGUCCCAAUUAUCAUUGUUUUCUAUCUCAACAACUGCCCAAGCUAUAGGAACAAUCCUCUUAUCUCCAUCUCUUCCAACUACAGCUAAAAGGUGACCUUUUACAUCCCAUUUUAGAAAACCCAUCUAUUCCUAUCACAGGUCUACAAGUUCGCUUCCAAGAAUCCUUUUGAGAUUUAAAGCAGAUAUAGCACCAGAGAAAAGAAUCCUUUUGUGAUAUAAAGCAGCUAUAGCAUCAGAGAAACCUUUGCUUGCUUCCAAUAAAAAGCCCUACUGUUGUCUCUAUCUCAAACUCUGUCUCUGGGUUCUACUUUAAAACCUCCGCUUGAUAAUCUCAUAUUCUUGAAAAGUGAUCAUUAUGAGUAGCAUGUCAUGCUUUCAACACUUUGGUCUUGGCCUUUGCACAUUGGUCUGGAGUCACAUCCAAAUUGAAUUCUCUCUGAAUCUCAACAACCAUCUCGUUCUUUGAAAUAUUUGGAUUCACUCUCAGCCUUUCAUCAAACAAAAGUGCAAUGGAAGACCGCUUCAACAUCUUUGAAUAUCCUGACCUAACACAAGUAUGCAUAUAAAAUCUUACUUGCAUCUUAUGUUUUGUCUUCUCAUACGAACAAUAUACUUUCCAACCACAUUUAACACCAUCAACACCAAUUUAUGACCACUUCGCAGCAACAACCAUAGAUUCAGACCCAUAAAGAGAAAUGGUAUACCAUGUCUUUAAAGAGUACAUCAAAAGAACACGCUUGAAGUCGUGUUUAUAUCCUCUUCACCGCGUAAACCACCAUUAUAAUCGUUAUCUCCACCACCAACCACAUCAUCAACGACAUUGCAGUCUUCAUCACCAUACACGGCGCAGUCUUCUUCAUUUUUCAGGGUCAGGCUCAAAUGUAGGUUCUUCAUCCUCCUCUUUUUAAUGUCUGACUCUUCUUCGUUUUUGUUUUCAAAGCCGCUUUGAAACUCGAGCUUUAACUACGAUAGAAGACUCUACUACGCCUACAGCCGGCAGAGCUAGAACUCCGUUAUCAAACUCUAAAACUGCUUCCGCUGGUGGAGCUCGAACAACAUCUUUGGUGUCAUCUUCGCCUCGUGGUGGAGCUUCAUCAUUGUCUAAUUUGCCUUCCAUUGAUACAAUCUAGGACUCCAAGGAUACAAAUUCAAGAUGAAAUCAAAUCAAAAUCGCGAUUUCGCCAAAGUAAGAAUUAGGGAUUUGGUUUUUGGAAAUUAGGGAUUUUGAAAUCAAAAUGGGAAUUUCUGUUUCAGUUUAUGAAACGACAUUGUUUUAGGCAUUAACAGAAAAAAUUAACGUCUGCUUACAGGGGUUAUCGGAUCUGUUAAUGCAAGUUAACGUCUCGGGGAUUUUGGUCAGGUCAACUUUAUGUUUUGUGUUAAAUGGCGGGUCAACGUCUUUAUCAUGUUUUAUUUGGCCGACCUAAAAGUUCACGUAUAAAAUGGCCACUUUUGAAAGUUCACGUAUAAAACGACAUUUUUCCCUUUUCAAAAACCUAAUUUAUUUCGCAUAAUUAUUGUUCGUUUUGAAAAGUAGGUUUUGAUUUAAUAUUAAAUUUAUUCGGGGAAAAAGAAUUAUACAUUUACAAGUAGGAAAAAUGGGUAAAAAAAACCUCACCUUUCCCAAAUACAUUUAAAAAAACCUCAACUUUUUGUAGGUUUUUAAACCCUCACCUUUUCAAAAAUGGUAAAAUAACAAUUAGCAUUAUUAAACCAAAUAAAUACAAAUUAAAUACUAAAUAAACUAUUAUAUUAAGACAUAAAAAACAACAUAAUUUAUAAUCUAUCUUUUCCAAAUUUGAGUUUAGGAUUUUUUUUCUUCUAGAAUUUAGUUGUUUUUUGUGAUAUAAAAAAUAAGUUUCAUUGCCAUUAGAAAUUGGUAUGUAAACUAAAACAAUUUAUAACAUAGCACAUUUUAUUUUAUUUGUGUUCAACUAUGUUCUAACCUUUGAAGUUUUGGAUUUAAAAUGGAUAAAAUUUAUUAACACAAAUUUGAUCUAAACUUGAGUGACCUAAUAUUUGUUCUAAACUUGUGUGAUCAAAACUUUAUUCUAAACUUAAGUGUCCAAACCAAAUAAAAUUUUAUUAAAUAUAUUUUAUAUUUAGUUAUUACAAAAUUAGUUUAGUUUUACGUUGAUGAAUUUCUUGAACUCAACCAAAUUAAUCUUGUUUCAGUUCACUGCAUAUGUAGAAGAAUAUAUAUCUAUAUAUAUAUACAUAUAUCAUACCUAAAAUAAAAUAAUUAUUUUUAUCCAAAAUUUAAUUAAACUUACACUCGAAACAAAAUAAAUAAACUUUGAAUAGACUUUGGAUAUGUUAUCUUCAGUAUGAAACCAAUUGUCUGAACCAAAUUUAAAUUGUUUUCACAUAAAACAUUUUACUAGAAGAAAAUAUUUAAGAGCUAUGUCUUUGGUUAGAUUAGAAUCGACAUAUUUCGUUUUCAAGAUUGUUUAGUGGUAGUUUGUUGUUUUGCGUCAAGUUUUUUUUAAUGUUUUCUUUUCCUAUUUUUGUCGGGUUCAUCUCUUGCUUUUGGACCGGUCAAUCUAUAACUUUUCACCUUUAUAAUAAUAGGUAAAGCGGUUGUGUGACUCUUUCAUUUUCCUCUACUCAAGUUUAAGACUAAAUCUGGUCAAAUUUUUAUUAGACUAGUUAUGAUGGU
RNAcentral lists this long non-coding RNA (12200 nucleotides) under Arabidopsis thaliana (thale cress). RNAcentral describes it as "long non-coding RNA (ATHA_LNC000689)". The record is from RNAcentral. Lineage: Eukaryota; Viridiplantae; Streptophyta; Magnoliopsida; Brassicales; Brassicaceae.